This 692-nucleotide ribosomal RNA is filed under the name uncultured Pseudomonadota bacterium. Its description in RNAcentral is "bacterial SSU rRNA". It matches the Rfam family "Bacterial small subunit ribosomal RNA", at positions 75 to 743 of the family's 1533-position model. The record is from RNAcentral. Lineage: Bacteria; Pseudomonadati; Pseudomonadota.
GGGGCAACUCCCCGAGUAGAGUGGCGCACGGGUGAGUAACGCGUGGGUAAUCUGCCCUUGAGUGGGGAAUAACCUCGCGAAAGCGGGGCUAAUACCGCAUAACAUCCUCUGGUUCUCGGACCGGGGAAUCAAAGAUGACCUCUGCAUGCAAGUUGUCGCUCGAGGAGGAGCCCGCGUCCCAUUAGCUAGUUGGUAGGGUAACGGCCUACCAAGGCUACGAUGGGUAGCCGGCCUGAGAGGGUGACCGGCCACACUGGAACUGAGACACGGUCCAGACUCCUACGGGAGGCAGCAGUGAGGAAUAUUGCGCAAUGGACGAAAGUCUGACGCAGCGACGCCGCGUGGAGGAUGAAGGCCUUCGGGUCGUAAACUCCUGUCGAGGGGGACGAAAUGGUGCCUUGUAAAUAGCAAGGCGUCUUGACGGUACCCCUGGAGGAAGCCCCGGCUAACUCCGUGCCAGCAGCCGCGGUAAUACGGAGGGGGCCAGCGUUGCUCGGAAUCACUGGGCGUAAAGGGCUCGUAGGCGGUCUGAUAAGUCCUGUGUGAAAUCCCUUGGCUUAACCAAGGAACUGCGCCGGAUACUGUCGGACUAGAGGCCGGGAGAGGGAAGCGGAAUUCCGAGUGUAGCGGUGAAAUGCGUAGAUAUUCGGAGGAACACCGGUGGCGAAGGCGGCUUCCUGGACCGGUUCUGA